RNAcentral lists this long non-coding RNA (263 nucleotides) under Lathyrus oleraceus (garden pea). RNAcentral's name for it is "Pisum sativum (pea) long non-coding RNA (PSAT_LNC017637)". Lineage: Eukaryota; Viridiplantae; Streptophyta; Magnoliopsida; Fabales; Fabaceae. The record is from RNAcentral.
UAUAAUCUCCCCCUUUUUGAUGAUGACAAAACAACUUAAAUUAGCAGAUGAAACAUGAAUAAAAUUAGAUCAGAUAGACAGAAGCUCCCCCUGAGAUAAUGCUAGGGAGUUCAGAAGUUCUUACCAGAGUUUCUUAAGUAAAGAGGUUUCUGAAGUUCUCUGCAAUUUCUUAAGUCCAAGUUAGAUAAUUUUAUUUAUAUAAAAAAUAUGUUGCAGAAUGCUUAAGGUUUUAGACAAUAUUUUCAUCAGAGCUAAUAAUUACU